UACGUAGGGUCCGAGCGUUAUCCGGAAUCAUUGGGCGUAAAGAGCUCGUAGGCGGUUCAGCAAGUCGGCUGUGAAAGUCCGGGGCUCAACCCCGGAAUUGCAGUCGAUACUGCUGUGACUCGAGUCCGGUAGAGGAGAACGGAAUUCCCGGUGUAGCGGUGAAAUGCGCAGAUAUCGGGAGGAACACCAGUAGCGAAGGCGGUUCUCUGGGCCGGCACUGACGCUGAAGAGCGAAAGCGUGGGGAGCAAACAGG
RNAcentral lists this ribosomal RNA (254 nucleotides) under uncultured bacterium. RNAcentral's name for it is "partial 16S ribosomal RNA". It matches the Rfam family "Bacterial small subunit ribosomal RNA", at positions 524 to 776 of the family's 1533-position model. The record is from RNAcentral.